Molecule: ribosomal RNA, 2920 nt
Filed under: Staphylococcus aureus
Lineage: Bacteria; Bacillati; Bacillota; Bacilli; Caryophanales; Staphylococcaceae
Description: 23S ribosomal RNA
Rfam family: Bacterial large subunit ribosomal RNA
Source: RNAcentral
GAUUAAGUUAUUAAGGGCGCACGGUGGAUGCCUUGGCACUAGAAGCCGAUGAAGGACGUUACUAACGACGAUAUGCUUUGGGGAGCUGUAAGUAAGCUUUGAUCCAGAGAUUUCCGAAUGGGGAAACCCAGCAUGAGUUAUGUCAUGUUAUCGAUAUGUGAAUACAUAGCAUAUCAGAAGGCACACCCGGAGAACUGAAACAUCUUAGUACCCGGAGGAAGAGAAAGAAAAUUCGAUUCCCUUAGUAGCGGCGAGCGAAACGGGAAGAGCCCAAACCAACAAGCUUGCUUGUUGGGGUUGUAGGACACUCUAUACGGAGUUACAAAGGACGACAUUAGACGAAUCAUCUGGAAAGAUGAAUCAAAGAAGGUAAUAAUCCUGUAGUCGAAAAUGUUGUCUCUUAGUGGAUCCUGAGUACGACGGAGCACGUGAAAUUCCGUCGGAAUCUGGGAGGACCAUCUCCUAAGGCUAAAUACUCUCUAGUGACCGAUAGUGAACCAGUACCGUGAGGGAAAGGUGAAAAGCACCCCGGAAGGGGAGUGAAAUAGAACCUGAAACCGUGUGCUUACAAGUAGUCAGAGCCCGUUAAUGGGUGAUGGCGUGCCUUUUGUAGAAUGAACCGGCGAGUUACGAUUUGAUGCAAGGUUAAGCAGUAAAUGUGGAGCCGUAGCGAAAGCGAGUCUGAAUAGGGCGUUUAGUAUUUGGUCGUAGACCCGAAACCAGGUGAUCUACCCUUGGUCAGGUUGAAGUUCAGGUAACACUGAAUGGAGGACCGAACCGACUUACGUUGAAAAGUGAGCGGAUGAACUGAGGGUAGCGGAGAAAUUCAAUCGAACCUGGAGAUAGCUGGUUCUCUCCGAAAUAGCUUUAGGGCUAGCCUCAAGUGAUGAUUAUUGGAGGUAGAGCACUGUUUGGACGAGGGGCCCCUCUCGGGUUACCGAAUUCAGACAAACUCCGAAUGCCAAUUAAUUUAACUUGGGAGUCAGAACAUGGGUGAUAAGGUCCGUGUUCGAAAGGGAAACAGCCCAGACCACCAGCUAAGGUCCCAAAAUAUAUGUUAAGUGGAAAAGGAUGUGGCGUUGCCCAGACAACUAGGAUGUUGGCUUAGAAGCAGCCAUCAUUUAAAGAGUGCGUAAUAGCUCACUAGUCGAGUGACACUGCGCCGAAAAUGUACCGGGGCUAAACAUGUUACCGAAGCUGUGGAUUGUCCUUUGGACAAUGGUAGGAGAGCGUUCUAAGGGCGUUGAAGCAUGAUCGUAAGGACAUGUGGAGCGCUUAGAAGUGAGAAUGCCGGUGUGAGUAGCGAAAGACGGGUGAGAAUCCCGUCCACCGAUUGACUAAGGUUUCCAGAGGAAGGCUCGUCCGCUCUGGGUUAGUCGGGUCCUAAGCUGAGGCCGACAGGCGUAGGCGAUGGAUAACAGGUUGAUAUUCCUGUACCACCUAUAAUCGUUUUAAUCGAUGGGGGGACGCAGUAGGAUAGGCGAAGCGUGCGAUUGGAUUGCACGUCUAAGCAGUAAGGCUGAGUAUUAGGCAAAUCCGGUACUCGUUAAGGCUGAGCUGUGAUGGGGAGAAGACAUUGUGUCUUCGAGUCGUUGAUUUCACACUGCCGAGAAAAGCCUCUAGAUAGAAAAUAGGUGCCCGUACCGCAAACCGACACAGGUAGUCAAGAUGAGAAUUCUAAGGUGAGCGAGCGAACUCUCGUUAAGGAACUCGGCAAAAUGACCCCGUAACUUCGGGAGAAGGGGUGCUCUUUAGGGUUAACGCCCAGAAGAGCCGCAGUGAAUAGGCCCAAGCGACUGUUUAUCAAAAACACAGGUCUCUGCUAAACCGUAAGGUGAUGUAUAGGGGCUGACGCCUGCCCGGUGCUGGAAGGUUAAGAGGAGUGGUUAGCUUCUGCGAAGCUACGAAUCGAAGCCCCAGUAAACGGCGGCCGUAACUAUAACGGUCCUAAGGUAGCGAAAUUCCUUGUCGGGUAAGUUCCGACCCGCACGAAAGGCGUAACGAUUUGGGCACUGUCUCAACGAGAGACUCGGUGAAAUCAUAGUACCUGUGAAGAUGCAGGUUACCCGCGACAGGACGGAAAGACCCCGUGGAGCUUUACUGUAGCCUGAUAUUGAAAUUCGGCACAGCUCUUGUACAGGAUAGGUAGGAGCCUUUGAAACGUGAGCGCUAGCUUACGUGGAGGCGCUGGUGGGAUACUACCCUAGCUGUGUUGGCUUUCUAACCCGCACCACUUAUCGUGGUGGGAGACAGUGUCAGGCGGGCAGUUUGACUGGGGCGGUCGCCUCCUAAAAGGUAACGGAGGCGCUCAAAGGUUCCCUCAGAAUGGUUGGAAAUCAUUCAUAGAGUGUAAAGGCAUAAGGGAGCUUGACUGCGAGACCUACAAGUCGAGCAGGGUCGAAAGACGGACUUAGUGAUCCGGUGGUUCCGCAUGGAAGGGCCAUCGCUCAACGGAUAAAAGCUACCCCGGGGAUAACAGGCUUAUCUCCCCAAGAGUUCACAUCGACGGGGAGGUUUGGCACCUCGAUGUCGGCUCAUCGCAUCCUGGGGCUGUAGUCGGUCCCAAGGGUUGGGCUGUUCGCCCAUUAAAGCGGUACGCGAGCUGGGUUCAGAACGUCGUGAGACAGUUCGGUCCCUAUCCGUCGUGGGCGUAGGAAAUUUGAGAGGAGCUGUCCUUAGUACGAGAGGACCGGGAUGGACAUACCUCUGGUGUACCAGUUGUCGUGCCAACGGCAUAGCUGGGUAGCUAUGUGUGGACGGGAUAAGUGCUGAAAGCAUCUAAGCAUGAAGCCCCCCUCAAGAUGAGAUUUCCCAACUUCGGUUAUAAGAUCCCUCAAAGAUGAUGAGGUUAAUAGGUUCGAGGUGGAAGCAUGGUGACAUGUGGAGCUGACGAAUACUAAUCGAUCGAAGACUUAAUCAA